GAUGAACGCUGGCGGCGUGCCUAAUACAUGCAAGUCGAGCGAACAGACGAGGAGCUUGCUCCUUUGACGUUAGCGGCGGACGGGUGAGUAACACGUAGGUAACCUACCUAUAAGACUGGGAUAACUUCGGGAAACCGGAGCUAAUACCGGAUAAUAUUUCGGACCGCAUGGUUCGAUAGUGAAAGAUGGCUUUGCUAUCACUUAUAGAUGGACCUGCGCCGUAUUAGCUAGUUGGUAAGGUAACGGCUUACCAAGGCAACGAUACGUAGCCGACCUGAGAGGGUGAUCGGCCACACUGGAACUGAGACACGGUCCAGACUCCUACGGGAGGCAGCAGUAGGGAAUCUUCCGCAAUGGGCGAAAGCCUGACGGAGCAACGCCGCGUGAGUGAUGAAGGUCUUCGGAUCGUAAAACUCUGUUAUUAGGGAAGAACAAACGUGUAAGUAACUGUGCACGUCUUGACGGUACCUAAUCAGAAAGCCACGGCUAACUACGUG
RNAcentral lists this ribosomal RNA (497 nucleotides) under uncultured bacterium. Its description in RNAcentral is "partial 16S ribosomal RNA". It matches the Rfam family "Bacterial small subunit ribosomal RNA", at positions 28 to 507 of the family's 1533-position model. The record is from RNAcentral.